Molecule: non-coding RNA, 293 nt
Organism: Prunus avium (sweet cherry)
Lineage: Eukaryota; Viridiplantae; Streptophyta; Magnoliopsida; Rosales; Rosaceae
Source: RefSeq, a predicted model, not a curated record
ACUCCCAUUCAGGAUGACCUGCAGCUGUUGCAGCCUCUUUGAAGUCUGCUUGGAGAUACUUGUCAUAGCACUGCAAUAUGAAAUAGAUGCCACAGCUUGCGGAGGGCUUCUGCUGAUUAUACUGGGGGAACUGAAUGUAGGAGCAUUCUUCGUUCCUUGCCUCCAUACUUUACUUGCUCCUUCUGCAUUCUCAGGUACAUUUAUGAAAAGAACAUUUGUGCAGAAGAAGCACCUGCUGUGAAGCCUUAUUUUCUCUCCCAAACUACCUAGAGUUACGCUUGUCAUGGCGCCGA